Molecule: long non-coding RNA, 855 nt
Organism: Felis catus (domestic cat)
Lineage: Eukaryota; Metazoa; Chordata; Mammalia; Carnivora; Felidae
Exons: 3
Source: RefSeq, a predicted model, not a curated record
GGCGUCCCCGUGCGGGGCGGGGCGGCACAGAGUCCCCGGAAGGAGGCUUGCUUGCUUGUUCCUGGACGGGCGGAGGCCCACGUGUCGCGCGACCUCCUCAGCUUUCCGCCUGGGGUCAGCUUCCGGUGGGGUUGCAUUAACCGCCCCCCCAACCCCUCAGCCCGAGUCGUCCCAGCGGCCGGCUCUGUGCAGCCACGUCAAGACCCACUGAUGUACUGUCCCCGUCGCUUCCCGUCUGUCCUCUCCCAGCGCUUCAGACCACGCGGUUGCCACGGCGGUGACAUGACCCAUAAUAGUCCCUGCCUCCUCCAGUAAAUGAAGGAAGGGACAGAGGUUUCCCACGGAGCAGGCAGGACACCUGCUCAGGCCCGGCUGACCGCACGCUUCCUGUGGGGACCCGGCUGGGCUCUCCAUUUCAGGGGUGCUGCAGUGGGCUGAAUAGCAUACCCCCAAAUUCAUGUCACCUGGAACCUCAGAAGAUGGUUUUAGUUGGAAAUAGGUCUUUGCAGAUGCAAUUAGUUAAGAUGGAAUGGGCCCUGAUUCAAUGACUGGGUCCUUGCAAGAAAAGACCCACAGACAGGACACAUGGGGAGCGGGCCACAUGGCAAUGGAGGCAGAGAGGGGAGGGACACCAAGGAUGGGCCACAACAGGGGCUGAGAGAGGCUGGGAGCAGAGAGAGCGUGUGCAAGCAGGGGAGAGGCAGAAAAUCACAAGGAGGCACCACGUUCACCUCGGAGCCGACGCGGGGCUCAACCCCACAACCCUGGGAUCAUGACCUCAGCUGAAACUAAGAGUCAGAGGCUCUGGACUCCUGGGUGACUCGGCUGAGGAACAGACUCUUGAUUUCCGCUCAG